CGAGUGGACCCACAGAAGGGGAUCAAGAAAGGUGAAAUGCAGUCCCUCUCUGGAGAACCACGGCGGCCUCAGACUCCUGGAGCUGGGAGAGAGCUUGUGACUGUGCCUUGAAUAAAGCUGAAGGUGACCUUAAGGCAAAACAUGGGACUGCCCUGAACAGCGUAACCUGACGCCCCAUAAAUGCUUAAAGUGACAGUAGUUUCAAUGGAGUGGUGCCAAGAGAAAUAAAAAUUCAACUCUACAGUCAGCUAUGGCCGCACACGCCUCUCAUCCCAGCACUUGAGAGGCAGAAGGAGGUGACUCUCUGAGCUUUGGAAAGCCUGCCCUACAGAGUGAGUUCCAGUCAAGGCUACAUAGCAGCACCAUGUCUUAAUAAGCAAAUAAAAUACUUACUAUAUGUGUUUGAUCUAAUGGGA
This 416-nucleotide long non-coding RNA is filed under the name Rattus norvegicus (Norway rat). RNAcentral describes it as "long non-coding RNA NONRATT025693". Lineage: Eukaryota; Metazoa; Chordata; Mammalia; Rodentia; Muridae. The record is from RNAcentral.